UUACCGAAGCCGGAUUGAGAACCCCGGCUAGCCGUGCGCUAGAACAAAAGUCUUACACUGCUGCUUGCUGAGCGGGCGGAUGGGGUCGCCUAAUUGCUUCUCCUCCGGAACCUCAGCGCACGAACACACCCGCGAACGAAUAUAUAUCCGAUGUUGGGCGAGUGGCGACUCGAGCACUUGUUCUUUACUUACGAGUGCUCAAAAAAAAGCCGCACCCACAUUCAACCCCACUAAACUAUGAAUCUGAACUAAAAGGAGGCGCCUACGCCAUUGUUUGUGCAGAAGCGCCGCCUCAACCAUAACGUUGUAAAACUUUCAGCGNNNNAUGUCUUGGCUCCCACAACGAUGAAGAACGCAGCGAAAUGCGAUACGUCUUGCGACUUGCAGAAUCCAGUGAAUCAUCAAAACUUUGAACGCAUCUUGCGCUUCCGGGAUAUGCCUGGGAGCAUGCUUGUCGGAGUGUCUGUUAACACUCCUCGCCCUGGUGUCCUGUUCUGUUUUAUUUCCUUUCGAAAGAGAGAGAAUAGGACAGAACAGUGCCGGUGGCGGACUGUGCGUGUUCCGGAGACCUGGUUUCCGAGUGCACCUAAUCUUGUGAACGAAACUCCUAGUCUCCAAGAGCGCAAGAGUUGUUGACGGCGUUUUGCCCCUCCGGGGCCACGACUCUCGACUCGUCCAAUGCGCCUCCUGGCGGGCGGAGAUAGUUUUCCGGUUGGGGGGGUGAGUGUUGUGUGUUUUAUAUACACAUAUACCCACCCCUUCUGUUGAUACUUUCGUUCG
RNAcentral lists this ribosomal RNA (780 nucleotides) under Splachnidium rugosum. The stretch from base 311 to 465 matches the Rfam family "5.8S ribosomal RNA". Lineage: Eukaryota; Phaeophyceae; Scytothamnales. The record is from RNAcentral.